AGAGUUUGAUCAUGGCUCAGAACGAACGCUGGCGGCAGGCCUAACACAUGCAAGUCGAACGAUAAGCCACCUUCGGGUGGUGGACAGUGGCAGACGGGUGAGUAACGCGUGGGAACGUGCCUUUCGGUUCGGAAUAACCCAGGGAAACUUGGGCUAAUACCGGAUACGCCCUUCGGGGGAAAGAUUCAUUGCCGAAAGAUCGGCCCGCGUCGGAUUAGCUAGUUGGUGGGGUAAUGGCUCACCAAGGCGACGAUCCGUAGCUGGUCUGAGAGGAUGACCAGCCACACUGGGACUGAGACACGGCCCAGACUCCUACGGGAGGCAGCAGUGGGGAAUAUUGGACAAUGGGCGCAAGCCUGAUCCAGCCAUGCCGCGUGGGUGAAGAAGGCCUUAGGGUUGUAAACCCCUUUCAGCGGGGAAGAUAAUGACGGUACCCGCAGAAGA
This 444-nucleotide ribosomal RNA is filed under the name uncultured Microvirga sp. Its description in RNAcentral is "bacterial SSU rRNA". It matches the Rfam family "Bacterial small subunit ribosomal RNA", at positions 8 to 488 of the family's 1533-position model. The record is from RNAcentral. Lineage: Bacteria; Pseudomonadati; Pseudomonadota; Alphaproteobacteria; Hyphomicrobiales; Methylobacteriaceae.